UACGGAGGGUGCAAGCGUUAAUCGGAAUUACUGGGCGUAAAGCGCGCGUAGGUGGCUUGAUAAGCCGGUUGUGAAAGCCCCGGGCUCAACCUGGGAAUGGCAUUGGGAACUGUCAGGCUCGAGGGCAGGAGGGGAAGGUAGAAUUCCAGGUGUAGCGGUGAAAUGCGUAGAGAUCGGGAGGAAUACCAGUGGCGAAGGCGGCCUUCUGGACUGACACUGACACUGAGGUGCGAAAGCGUGGGUAGCAAACAGG
This 253-nucleotide unclassified non-coding RNA is filed under the name uncultured Halomonadaceae bacterium. RNAcentral's name for it is "contains 16S-23S intergenic spacer region". It matches the Rfam family "Bacterial small subunit ribosomal RNA", at positions 524 to 776 of the family's 1533-position model. Lineage: Bacteria; Pseudomonadati; Pseudomonadota; Gammaproteobacteria; Oceanospirillales; Halomonadaceae. The record is from RNAcentral.